Oncorhynchus tshawytscha (Chinook salmon) is the source of this 379-nucleotide long non-coding RNA. Lineage: Eukaryota; Metazoa; Chordata; Actinopteri; Salmoniformes; Salmonidae. The record is from Ensembl.
CCCCAGCCACUGAACUACCCACACAGGACCCCAGCCACUGAACUACCCACACAGGACCCCAGCCACUGAACUACCCACACAGGGCCCCAGCCACUGAACUACCCACACAGGACCCCAGCCACUGAACUACCCACACAGGACCCCAGCCACUGAACUACCCACACUGGGCCCCAGCCACUGAACUACCCACACAGGACCCCAGCCACUGAACUACCCACACAGGACCCCAGCCACUGAACUACCCACACAGGACCCCAGCCACUGAACUACCCACACAGGAUCCCAGCCACUGAACUACCCACACAGGACCCCAGCCACUGAACUACCCACACAGGACCCCAGCCACUGAACUACCCACACAGGGCCCCAGCCACUGAAC